Molecule: ribosomal RNA, 426 nt
Filed under: uncultured bacterium
Lineage: Bacteria
Description: partial 16S ribosomal RNA
Rfam family: Bacterial small subunit ribosomal RNA
Source: RNAcentral
GUGAGGAAUAUUCCGCAAUGGGGGAAACCCUGACGGAGCAAUGCCGCGUGCAGGAUGAAGGCCCUCGGGUCGUAAACUGCUUUUAUAUGAGAAGAAUAUGACGGUAACAUAUGAAUAAGGGACGGCUAACUACGUGCCAGCAGCCGCGGUCAUACGUAGGUCCCAAGCGUUAUCCGGAGUGACUGGGCGUAAAGAGUUGCGUAGGCGGCUCGUUAAGCGUGAAAUGAAAUUUAUCGGCUCAACCGGUAAACUAUUUCGCGAACUGACGGGCUCGAGAGUAUGAGAGGUUACUGGAAUUUCUAGUGUAGCAGUGAAAUGCGUAGAUAUUAGAAAGAACACCAACGGCGUAGGCAGGUAACUGGCAUACAUCUGACGCUGAGGCACGAAAGCGUGGGGAGCGAACCGGAUUAGAAACCCUAGUAGUCC